This 1043-nucleotide long non-coding RNA is filed under the name Felis catus (domestic cat). RNAcentral describes it as "lncRNA (ENSFCAG00000040619.2)". The record is from RNAcentral. Lineage: Eukaryota; Metazoa; Chordata; Mammalia; Carnivora; Felidae.
CUUCAUGGUUAUUGGCAAUGUAAAUUAUUUCAUUUUUAUUAAAAAUUUUUUUUUAAUCUUUAUUUUUGAGAGAGAGAUCGAGUGUGAAUGUGGGAGGGGCAGAGAGAGGGAGACACAGAAUCUGAAGCAGGCUCCAGACUGAGCUGUCAGCUCAGAACCCAACACGGGGCGGGGGGUUGGGGGGGGGGGGCUCAGGAGCUGCGAGAUCAUGACCGGAGCCGAAGUCUGACGUUUAACCGACUGAGCCACCCAGUCGCCCCAAAAAUGUAAAGCUUCUAAAAGGAAAAAAACGAACCGAUGCAAUUAAACUAUCAAGUAUAUAGACCACAUUUACAGGGAGGUGGAUGUUCCAAAGAGAUAGACUGGUCUACUCAAUGGUCAGAACAGCUGAGGUGCUGAGCAUCUGUUGGAAAAAGCUGUGCCAAGAGACUAAAACCAUUCAUCACACUAUCCAAACCAGAAAUCCUGGAAUGAUUUGGCUCACCUAUGCUGUUUCAAUGCUUCUCUCUACAGUGGCAUAUUCAAAUGAUCUCAACAGAUUCACAGGACUUUCCAUUAGUGUCCACCUCAGCCAUGUGGAUGAUCCAUCAAUUCUAUUUUCUAAUGAUGUACAUGCAAUGACAUUCAUUUCUAUGGAGAAGAUUGACAUCAUUCCAAAUGAAUAUGUGAGAUGCCCCAGACCCUUAGAAGACUGAGAGGGAAAUGAAUGAGUCCUCCUGUUCCUGGAGGCCAGAAGAGUUUUGUGAAACUGCAGAGUGAAGAAGCUUGUUCCAGUGCUUUGGCAAGGAACAGGUAACCUGUGCCUCUAGACUGGAUGCCAAAGCUCUUCUGCUUUUCUUCCCAAUGAGAUUCUAACCAUUUAGGAAACUCCAACCUGUAGUUCCGAGAUCAUGACAUAGCAAGAAACAAAAACAACCUAUCUUCUGUUUCCCAGCAGCUAGAGAGAAGAUGAUCAGGCAGAAUAAUCAGGACACAUUUACAGCAAGUUAGCACAGCUGGUCGGGACAGAUGAAAAUACGAAAGAAUAAAAUUAAUAUUCAGAG